GUUGCGGCGCCUGGUGUCUCAGGGAGGCUUGAGGUUCGGGUAGUCGGUGACAUGGCGGAGGCCGCGGCGCUGGUGUGGAUUAGCGGCCCUGGCUUCGGGUGCAAAGCGGUGCGGUGUGCCUCGGCUCGGUGCACCGUCCGGGAUUUUAUCCACUGGCACUGCCAAGAUCAGAAUGUUCCAGUGGAAAACUUCUUUGUGAAAUGCAAUGGAGCACUCAUUAACACCAGUGACACAGUGCAGCAUGGAGCUGUUUAUAGUUUGGAACCCAGACUUUGCGGUGGAAAAGGAGGUUUUGGAUCUAUGCUCCGAGCACUUGGUGCUCAGAUUGAGAAGACAACCAAUCGAGAAGCCUGUCGGGAUCUCAGUGGAAGGAGACUACGCGAUGUCAAUCAUGAAAAAGCAAUGGCUGAAUGGGUAAAACAACAAGCCGAGCGAGAGGCUGAAAAGGAGCAGAAGAGGCUGGAGCGACUGCAGCGGAAGCUUGUAGAACCCAAGCACUGCUUCACCAGCCCCGACUACCAGCAGCAGUGCCAUGAGAUGGCUGAGCGUCUGGAGGAUUCUGUCCUCAAAGGUAUGCAGGCUGCCUCCAGCAAGAUGGUUUCAGCAGAAAUCAGUGAGAAUCGGAAACGGCAAUGGCCUACUAAAUCUAAAACAGACAGGGGAGCCAGUGCGGGAAAGAGGAGAUGCUUCUGGUUGGACAUGGAGGGACUAGAGACUGCAGAAGGGUCCAGCUCUGAGAGUUCAGAUGAUGACAGUGAAGAAGCACCAAGCACUUCAGGAAUGGGUUUCCAUGCUCCAAAAAUUGGUAGCAAUGGUGUCGAGAUGGCAGCCAAAUUUCCCAGUGGUUCUCAGAGGGCGAGAGUAGUGAAUACAGACCCUGGAUCACCAGAACAACUGCAGAUCCCGGUGACAGACUCUGGGAGGCGUAUUUCAGAAGACUCAUGUGCUGAGCUGGGGGAGUCCAAAGAGCAUAUGGAAAGCAGGAUGGCUACAGAAACAGAAAAGACCCAGGAGAAGAAGGCAGAGAGUAAAGAACCCAUAGAAGAGGAACCCACUGGGGCUGGACUGAAUAAGGAUAAAGAGACAAAAGAAAGGACUGAUGGGGAAAGAGUUGCUGAGGUAGCACCUGAAGAAAGGGAAAACGUUGCCAUUGCCAAACUGCAGGAUAGCCAGCCAGGAAAUGCAGUGCUGAGAAAGGAUGUUAAAAUCUUCAAUUACGAUUGUGGAAUUGUCUCUUUCUUUCUUAAAUUCUACCAGUUUUUGUAUGAAGCUCUAAUAACUUAUGUCUUCCUAAUGUAUUGACCAUUUUAUUAUUAUGAAAUUUCCCUCUGUCUCUGGUAAUUUGGGUUUGAAAUCUACUUUGUCUUAUGUGAAUAUAGCCACUGCAGCCUUCUUAAGCUUAGUGUUUGCACAGUAUACCUCUUUCUAUUAAUUUACUUUGUGCUUCUGUGCCUAUUUAAAGUAGUUUCCUUAAACAACAUAUACUUGAGUCUUGCAUUUUUAUCUAUUCUCUCUGUACCUUUUAAUAAGUUUAUUAACAUUAAAUGUAAUUAUUGAUAGGUUUCUAAUAUUUUACAUGUUUCCUGUUAAGAUUGUUUUAUAAUUGUAUUUUAAUUUAUUGGCUCUUUACCUAUACUGGUGUAAUAAUUUUUUUAAGUUGGAUGUUCUAGUAAUUACAAUAUACAUUCUUAAUUUUUCAGUCUACCUAGAGUUGAUGUGCCACUUCACGUAAAAUGUAGAAAUCUUCAUCCAGAUCAAGAAACAGAACAUUAUAAGAACUCCAAAGCCCUGGAGACCCCUUCUGGUCACCACCUUCCAAGGUUUCUUCAUCUGGGAGGACCCUCUGCACCCCCUGGGUUUAGAGAAGAGAUGACCGUUCAGCAAAAGCACCUGAAGACAGCGCUACAGAUGCACGGUCAGCGCCGUGAUUCCCAUGUCUGAAGCGACCCCUGCUGGCUGCCGGCCCGGGCUCAGGGUCCACCGAAGCCAGUCUCCAGCCCCUACUUCUGUGCUUCCUGGAGGGCACUGCCCCGGAGCCUGGGCAGCUGCAGAUUUCUCUUUUAAACACUGACUUCCUCUCUUGAGUAAAAGUUGUGGGUCUGCAGCUGCCUUCUGAAGACCCAUGGAGAGGUCCACUCAGGGAGGACGUGAUGCCUUCUGCAAAGAACCAAAGAGGAGCUGAAGCCUUCAGCCAACAGCCAUGUGAGUGAAUCCUGCAGGUGGAUCCUCGGGCCCCAGGUAAGCCUUCAGCCGACUACAGCCCUAGCCGACAUCUUCAUGGCAACCUCAUGGGAAACCCCGAGCCAGAACCAUGCAGCUAAACUGUUUCUGGAUUCUUCAUCCAUAGGAACAGUGAGACAAUAAAUGCUUGGUGUUUAAGCCACCAAGUCAAGAUAAUUUGUUACACAGCAAUCUUUCUCUGGAGAGGUUCUGGUGGACGUCUCCAAAAGGCUUCAUAAGUGUCCUUCUCCUAUAUUAUCUGAUGAUGGCCUCUUCCCCCCAUGGCUCCAGGUACCACCUACAUGCUGUGCUGAUGUUGCCCAGGGUCAUGGUUCCAUAACUUCUCCUCCCAGAUUUCCCACAGGCUCCUCAUCACUCAGACAGAACCUGAUGUCUUCUCCCUUGAAAUCUGGACCCGCCUCCUCUUACAGGCUGGGAGUCUCCUCUGCCACAUCUACUCAGUCCUUGGUCACCAUAGACUCACCUCCUGGAUUGCUAGUGGCUUUAUCCCAUUUGCUACUGCCAUGAUUCAGGUCCCACAAUUUUUCUUCUGUGUGACUACAGAGGCCACUCCUCCUGGCCUCCUUUCCUCCAUUCCACACAAGGCUGCUGAGCGAGCUUUUCAAACCAUGACUGUCUCAGAAAACCCACUGUCUUCAGAAUAAAGUGGAAACUGCUGA
Nomascus leucogenys (northern white-cheeked gibbon) is the source of this 2900-nucleotide RNA transcript. It is a transcript of the gene named SDE2 telomere maintenance homolog, with no coding region annotated. The record is from RefSeq and is a predicted model, not a curated record. Lineage: Eukaryota; Metazoa; Chordata; Mammalia; Primates; Hylobatidae. The transcript is spliced from 10 exons.